Molecule: ribosomal RNA, 427 nt
Filed under: uncultured bacterium
Lineage: Bacteria
Description: partial 16S ribosomal RNA
Rfam family: Bacterial small subunit ribosomal RNA
Source: RNAcentral
UGGGGAAUAUUGCACAAUGGGCGCAAGCCUGAUGCAGCCAUGCCGCGUGUAUGAAGAAGGCCUUCGGGUUGUAAAGUACUUUCAGCGGGGAGGAAGGCGAUAAGGUUAAUAACCUUGUCGAUUGACGUUACCCGCAGAAGAAGCACCGGCUAACUCCGUGCCAGCAGCCGCGGUAAUACGGAGGGUGCAAGCGUUAAUCGGAAUUACUGGGCGUAAAGCGCACGCAGGGGGUCUGUAAAGUCGGAUGUGAAAUCCCCGGGCUCAACCUGGGAACUGCAUUCGAAACUGGCAGGCUAGAGUCUUGUAGAGGGGGGUAGAAUUCCAGGUGUAGCGGUGAAAUGCGUAGAGAUCUGGAGGAAUACCGGUGGCGAAGGCGGCCCCCUGGACAAAGACUGACGCUCAGGUGCGAAAGCGUGGGGAGCAAACA